RNAcentral lists this ribosomal RNA (253 nucleotides) under uncultured bacterium. RNAcentral's name for it is "partial 16S ribosomal RNA". It matches the Rfam family "Bacterial small subunit ribosomal RNA", at positions 524 to 776 of the family's 1533-position model. The record is from RNAcentral.
UACGUAGGGGGCAAGCGUUGUCCGGAUUUAUUGGGCGUAAAGAGCGUGUAGGCGGUUAGAUAAGUCCGCUGUGAAAUCUCGAGGCUCAACUUCGAGCUGUCGGUGGAAACUGUCUGGCUAGAGUCCGGAAGAGGAGAAUGGAAUUCCUGGUGUAGCGGUGAAAUGCGCAGAUAUCAGGAAGAACACCCGUGGCGAAGGCGGUUCUCUGGGACGGUACUGACGCUGAGACGCGAAAGCGUGGGGAGCAAACAGG